This 569-nucleotide long non-coding RNA is filed under the name Ananas comosus (pineapple). RNAcentral's name for it is "long non-coding RNA (ACOM_LNC024231)". Lineage: Eukaryota; Viridiplantae; Streptophyta; Magnoliopsida; Poales; Bromeliaceae. The record is from RNAcentral.
AAUUGUGAGAUUGCCUAAUUUAGGGGGAGUUUGAAAUUGUUUAAAAAUAAAAAAGGGAGACAAAGAAACUCCUAUGUUUAAAAGAUGUGGAAAGAGUUACAUCCAAAAGGAGUGUGAAAACUACCACCACAUGUAGGAAAGAGCUACCACCCCGGUCGUCCGGCAAGUGUGUGAAGCUACCACAUGAAAAUUGAAUUGAUUAAACUGAAAAAAUUGAAAAGAAACAAUUGAAUAUUUUAGAAUUUUUCGGAGUAAUAAGGUGUUAGUUUGAAAAAGAUGCUCAAAGAGCCACCCCUGGUAUCAUAUUAGUUAAAUCUCUAUUUUGAACAUAUUGCGACUAAUUGGUGUCAAUUUUGUUGAAUUUCUAAAUAUCAUUUUUCAUCAACUUACAUCUUGAUGUUGUUGAAUCAUUAAAUUAUUUUUGAUUUCGAAAUUUUGAUGUUUUGAUGUGUUUUGAAAUUUUAUAAUAUCUUAUUUUCAUUAUAAUAAUUUUUGGAGUAAAAGCCUUAAUUAUAUGAAUUUAAUUUAAAUUUGAUGGGUUUUUAAAGGAUAUUUUUCGAAAAUUUUUU